UACAGAGGGUGCGAGCGUUAAUCGGAAUUACUGGGCGUAAAGGGUGCGUAGGUGGUUUGAUAAGUUAGGUGUGAAAGUCCCGGGCUUAACCUGGGGAUUGCGCCUGAUACUGUUAGGCUAGAGUACUGUAGAGGGAAGUGGAAUUUCCGGUGUAGCGGUGAAAUGCGUAGAUAUCGGAAGGAACACCAGUGGCGAAGGCGACUUUCUGGACAGCUACUGACACUGAGGCACGAAAGCAUGGGGAGCAAACAGG
RNAcentral lists this ribosomal RNA (253 nucleotides) under uncultured bacterium. RNAcentral's name for it is "partial 16S ribosomal RNA". It matches the Rfam family "Bacterial small subunit ribosomal RNA", at positions 524 to 776 of the family's 1533-position model. The record is from RNAcentral.